CUUCCAAUGCCUUUGCCCUGUGUCUCAACUAACUUUGAAAUAGAGGGACCUUCUUAUAGGAAGAAGAAGGAAAAAUCAAGUGGAAAAACACCUUCAUCAGCUGCUGAGGCCAGAGUUCACGGAGAGCGGGCGGCUGACCCAGAUCCCAUAUCUCCUCCCAGCUGUGAAAGCUUCUCUGCCAAUCAGCCACCAGAGUCUUCAAGGCUAAAUAAGAGGUAAUGAGUCUGCUAGAAAAAUGGGUCAGAGGUCCAUUAACUCAGGCUCAGACGUGGCUGAGAGCCUGCUUUCACUAUGGCAAUGCCUCCAGCACGAGGCAGAGGUGGGGGCUUGGACUCUUCGAGAGAGGGGUUGAAGAUGGAGCCUCAAAUGCCUGAGGGGCCCAGGCCAGCUUCCUGGGGACUUGCUACCUGCCCUGCCAUCUGGCCCUUGGAGGAGUCAAAGGCAUGUGCCACAUACUUAAUGCUUUGAGUAUCAUUUCAUUUAACCCUCUCAACAACACGCUGUGGGAUGCUGUACAGUGGCUGUCUCUACUUUAUAGAUGAGGAAACUGAAGCACAGCCAGGGGAGGGAAUCUGCCCAGAGUCUCACAGUCAGCAACGGGAGGAGCUGGGAUUCACUCCCAGGGAUGGAAGGUGCCCUUUCUGUUAUAGUUUCACCCAGGGUCGAAGUCAGGCUCAUUUAGGCCAGGCUCUUUCGUGCAGCCAGCUGUCUCUAUGAGCUCCUGUUCCAGAGAGCCAGCUGCAUUGGGAGGUGUCUCUGUGGGUCCUGGGUGCCUCACGCCCUCCACACUCAAACCUGAGCUCCCCUGACCUGCCCCUGCUCUGUCCGCCUCGUGGAGACAGGAGACUCUCCGCAUGGAAUUAGGCUCCCAAAGCCAUUCUGAUCUCCUGCUGCUCCCUCAACCUCACACCCAGUGAUCCGUGCAUCAAACAUACACUGAGCACCUAUGAUGUGCCGGGCACUGAUCUAGGUUCAAAGGAGAAACCAGUGGACAAAAUCAACAAACAUUUCUACAUUCCAUCUCGCAGGGGCUAACUCAAGAGGAAACAUGAAUAAGCAAAUGAUGUGCCUCACGGACUGCCUUGGAGGGUGUGGAGCAGGGUAAGGAACUGGGAAUCUUGGAGGAGGUUGCAAUAUUUAUUGGGGUAGUCGCAGCAUGCCUUAUUGAGAAGCUAACCCUUGAGCAA
This 1187-nucleotide long non-coding RNA is filed under the name Macaca mulatta (Rhesus monkey). Its description in RNAcentral is "lncRNA (ENSMMUG00000064200.1)". The record is from RNAcentral. Lineage: Eukaryota; Metazoa; Chordata; Mammalia; Primates; Cercopithecidae.